RNAcentral lists this ribosomal RNA (504 nucleotides) under uncultured bacterium. RNAcentral's name for it is "partial 16S ribosomal RNA". It matches the Rfam family "Bacterial small subunit ribosomal RNA", at positions 28 to 523 of the family's 1533-position model. The record is from RNAcentral.
GAUGAACGCUGGCGGCAGGCCUAACACAUGCAAGUCGAGCGGUAGCACAGAGAGCUUGCUCUCGGGUGACGAGCGGCGGACGGGUGAGUAAUGUCUGGGAAACUGCCUGAUGGAGGGGGAUAACUACUGGAAACGGUAGCUAAUACCGCAUAACGUCGCAAGACCAAAGAGGGGGACCUUCGGGCCUCUUGCCAUCAGAUGUGCCCAGAUGGGAUUAGCUAGUAGGUGGGGUAACGGCUCACCUAGGCGACGAUCCCUAGCUGGUUUGAGAGGAUGACCAGCCACACUGGAACUGAGACACGGUCCAGACUCCUACGGGAGGCAGCAGUGGGGAAUAUUGCACAAUGGGCGCAAGCCUGAUGCAGCCAUGCCGCGUGUAUGAAGAAGGCCUUCGGGUUGUAAAGUACUUUCAGCGGGGAGGAAGGCGAUAAGGUUAAUAACCUUGUCGAUUGACGUUACCCGCAGAAGAAGCACCGGCUAACUCCGUGCCAGCCGCCGCGGUAA